CCUACGGGAGGCAGCAGUGGGGAAUAUUGGACAAUGGGGGCAACCCUGAUCCAGCCAUGCCGCGUGUGUGAAGAAGGCCCUCGGGUUGUAAAGCACUUUCAGUGAGGAAGAACGCCUGGUGGUUAAUACCCAUCAGGAAAGACAUCACUCACAGAAGAAGCACCGGCUAACUCCGUGCCAGCAGCCGCGGUAAUACGGAGGGUGCGAGCGUUAAUCGGAAUUACUGGGCGUAAAGCGCGCGUAGGUGGCUUGAUAAGCCGGUUGUGAAAGCCCCGGGCUCAACCUGGGAACGGCAUCCGGAACUGGCAAGCUAGAGUGCAGAAGAGGAAGGUAGAAUUCCCGGUGUAGCGGUGAAAUGCGUAGAGAUCGGGAGGAAUACCAGUGGCGAAGGCGGCCUUCUGGACUGACACUGACACUGAGGUGCGAAAGCGUGGGUAGCAAACAGGAUUAGAUACCCUAGUAGUC
Molecule: ribosomal RNA, 465 nt
Filed under: Vreelandella stevensii
Lineage: Bacteria; Pseudomonadati; Pseudomonadota; Gammaproteobacteria; Oceanospirillales; Halomonadaceae
Description: partial 16S ribosomal RNA
Rfam family: Bacterial small subunit ribosomal RNA
Source: RNAcentral